RNAcentral lists this small nuclear RNA (129 nucleotides) under Lynx canadensis (Canada lynx). RNAcentral's name for it is "U4 spliceosomal RNA (ENSLCNG00005019226.1)". It matches the Rfam family "U4 spliceosomal RNA". From Rfam's summary of the family: U4 small nuclear RNA (U4 snRNA) is a component of the major U2-dependent spliceosome. Lineage: Eukaryota; Metazoa; Chordata; Mammalia; Carnivora; Felidae. The record is from Rfam by way of RNAcentral. RNAcentral also lists the same sequence under 1 other name.
GGCUUUGCACAGUGGCAGUAUCGUAACCAAUGAGGUUUAUCCGAAGCAUGACUAUUGCUAGUAGAAACACUACCAAUUUCUGGAUACUAAUUUUGUAUCCUACCACUUUACUCAAUUACUUCUAGUAGU